RNAcentral lists this ribosomal RNA (484 nucleotides) under uncultured bacterium. Its description in RNAcentral is "partial 16S ribosomal RNA". It matches the Rfam family "Bacterial small subunit ribosomal RNA", at positions 30 to 507 of the family's 1533-position model. The record is from RNAcentral.
AUUGAACGCUGGCGGCAGGCUUAACACAUGCAAGUCGAGCGGAUGAAGGGAGCUUGCGCCUGGAUCCAGCGGCGGACGGGUGAGUAAUGCCUAGGAAUCUGCUUGGUAGGGGGGGAUAACGACCGGAAACGGGCGCUACUACUGCAUACGUCCUGCGGGAGAAAGAGGGGGAGUUUCGGACCUCAUGCUAUCAGAGGAGCCUAGGUCGGGUUAGUUAGUUGGUGGGGUAAAGGCCUACCAAGGCGACGAUCCGUAACUGGUCGGUGAGGAUGAUCAGCCACCCUGGAGCUGGGACACGGUCCAGACUCCUACGGGAGGCAGCAGUGGGGAAUGUUAGACAAUGGGCGAAAGCCUGAUCCAGCCAUGCCGCGUGUGAGAAGAAGGUCUUCGGAUUGUAAAGCACUUUAAGUUGGGAGGAAGGGCAGUAAGUUAAUACCUUGCUGUUUUGACGUUACCAACAGAAUAAGCACCGGCUAACUUCGUG